AUGAACGCUGGCGGCGCGCCUAAUACAUGCAAGUCGAGCGAGAAGACGUAGCAAUACGUUUGUAAAGCGGCGAACGGGUGAGGAAUACAUGGGUAACCUACCCUCGAGUGGGGAAUAACUAGCCGAAAGGUUAGCUAAUACCGCGUACGCUCCUUGGACUUCGGUUCAGGGAGGAAAGCGAUACCGUGGGUAUCGCGCUCUUGGUUGGGCUCAUGUCCUAUCAGCUUGUUGGUGAGGUAACGGCUCACCAAGGCUUCGACGGGUAGCUGGUCUGAGAGGACGAUCAGCCACACUGGCACUGCGACACGGGCCAGACUCCUACGGGAGGCAGCAGUAAGGAAUAUUGCGCAAUGGGCGAAAGCCUGACGCAGCGACGCCGCGUGGGGGAUGAAGGUC
RNAcentral lists this ribosomal RNA (396 nucleotides) under uncultured bacterium. RNAcentral describes it as "bacterial SSU rRNA". It matches the Rfam family "Bacterial small subunit ribosomal RNA", at positions 29 to 416 of the family's 1533-position model. The record is from RNAcentral.